AUGACCGUUGCCGAUCGUCUUUCCGUCGACGGAAACGACGGGAAAGCAGAUGCUGGUAGCAGCGGUGAUGAAGACCUCCCGCGCUGCGAGCAUUUCU
Molecule: small RNA, 97 nt
Filed under: Sinorhizobium meliloti 2011
Lineage: Bacteria; Pseudomonadati; Pseudomonadota; Alphaproteobacteria; Hyphomicrobiales; Rhizobiaceae
Description: putative ncRNA
Source: RNAcentral